AUCUUCCAGUACAGUGGUGGA
Molecule: microRNA, 21 nt
Filed under: Monodelphis domestica (gray short-tailed opossum)
Lineage: Eukaryota; Metazoa; Chordata; Mammalia; Didelphimorphia; Didelphidae
Description: mdo-miR-141-5p
Gene: mdo-miR-141-5p
Source: miRBase by way of RNAcentral